UGAAUACGAGAUGCUACGGCGUCGAAGCAGUGUAUGUCAGACUUCCAAGAAAAGCUCGCAAUGUCAUAAAUAAAGAAUGCCUGUACCAUAACCGACACAGGUGGGUAGGUAGAGUAUACUAAGGGGCGCGAGAUAACUCUCUCUAAGGAACUCGGCAAAAUAACUCCGUAACUUCGGGAGAAGGAGUGCCUUCUUUAAGAAGGUUGCAAUAACAAGAUCCAAGCAACUGUUUAUCAAAAACACAGGUCUCCGCUAAGUCGUAAGACGAUGUAUGGGGGCUGACGCCUGCCCAGUGCCAGAAGGUUAAAGAAGUUGGUUAGCUUUUGCGAAGCUGAUGACUGAAGCCCUGGUGAACGGCGGCCGUAACUAUAACGGUCCUAAGGUAGCGAAAUUCCUUGUCGGGUAAGUUCCGACCCGCACGAAAGGCGUAAUGAUUUGGAUACUGUCUCGGAGAGGGACUCGGUGAAAUAGACUUGUCUGUGAAGAUGCGGACUACCUGCACCAGGACAGAAAGACCCUAUGAAGCUUUACUGUAACUUGAAAUUGAAAUUGGACUUUAUUUGCGCAGUAUAGGUGGAAGGCGUUGAAAGUAAUCUUGCGGGAUUAGUGGAGCCAUCAGUGAGAUACCACUCCUAUAAUGUUAGAUUUCUAACUUUGGAUCAUGAUCUGGUCAAAGAACAGUUUCAGGCGGGCAGUUUGACUGGGGUGGUCGCCUCCCAAAUGGUAACGGAGGCGUACAAAGGUUUCCUCUGAACGGGUAGAAAUCGUAUCUAGAGUGUAAAGGCAUAAGGAAGCUUGACUGUGAGACCUACAAGUCGAGCAGGGACGAAAGUCGGUCUUAGUGAUCUGACGGUGCUGAGUGGAAAGGCCGUCACUCAACGGAUAAAAGUUACUCUAGGAUAACAGGCUGAUCUCCCCCAAGAGUUCACAUCGACGGGGAGGUUUGGCACCUCGAUGUCGGCUCAUCGCAUCCUGGGGCGGUAGUACGUCCCAAGGGUUGGGCUGUUCGCCCAUGAAAGCGGUACGCGAGCUGGGUUCAGAACGUCGUGAGACAGUUCGGUCCAUAUCCGGUGUAGGCGUUAGAAAAUUGAGAGGAGCCUUCUUUAGUACGAGAGGACCGAGAAGGACAUACCUCUGGUGUACCAGUUAUCGUGCCAACGGUAAACGCUGGGUAGCUAUGUAUGGAGAGGAUAACCGCUGAAAGCAUCUAAGUGGGAAGCCCACCUCAAGAUGAGUAUUCUC
RNAcentral lists this ribosomal RNA (1242 nucleotides) under metagenome. RNAcentral's name for it is "bacterial LSU rRNA". It matches the Rfam family "Bacterial large subunit ribosomal RNA", at positions 1564 to 2815 of the family's 2925-position model. The record is from RNAcentral.